AGUGAACGCUGGCGGUAGGCCUAACACAUGCAAGUCGAACGGCAGCACAGUAAGAGCUUGCUCUUACGGGUGGCGAGUGGCGGACGGGUGAGGAAUACAUCGGAAUCUACUUUUUCGUGGGGGAUAACGUAGGGAAACUUACGCUAAUACCGCAUACGACCUACGGGUGAAAGCAGGAGAUCUUCGGACCUUGCGCGAUUGAAUGAGCCGAUGUCGGAUUAGCUAGUUGGCGAGGUAAAGGCCCACCAAGGCGACGAUCCGUAGCUGGUCUGAGAGGAUGAUCAGCCACACUGGAACUGAGACACGGUCCAGACUCCUACGGGAGGCAGCAGUGGGGAAUAUUGGACAAUGGGCGCAAGCCUGACCCAGCCAUACCGCGUGGGUGAAGAAGGCCUUCGGGUUGUAAAGCCCUUUUGUUGGGGAAGAAAAGCAGCAGGUUAAUACCCCGCUGUUCUGACGGUACCCAAAGAAUAAGCACCGGCUAACUUCGUG
RNAcentral lists this ribosomal RNA (492 nucleotides) under uncultured bacterium. RNAcentral's name for it is "partial 16S ribosomal RNA". It matches the Rfam family "Bacterial small subunit ribosomal RNA", at positions 29 to 507 of the family's 1533-position model. The record is from RNAcentral.